This 1353-nucleotide unclassified non-coding RNA is filed under the name Hevea brasiliensis (rubber tree). The record is from RNAcentral. Lineage: Eukaryota; Viridiplantae; Streptophyta; Magnoliopsida; Malpighiales; Euphorbiaceae.
UAAAAAAAAAAAAAAAGAAAGAAAAGAAAAGAAAAAAGAAAAAACAUGAGACUAUGUCCUACAUCAAUCUAAUUUUAUAUUAAUUUAAUGUAAAUUAUUUAGAAAUAAUCAAAAUUUCGUUUAGCUCUAGUCUUGAUUGACAACUUAUAAUUAACAAAGCCUAAUCAAUAAAGUUUAAGCUCAAUUUGAGCUUAAGCUCAAAUAAAAUCAAGUAAACCAAGUUUGAACAACUUAGUAAUCGGCUUAGUUUGUUUACACCCCUACAAAUUGGCUUUUCAACUCUUUUAAACCCUCGUGUAGAUUUUUUACCCUCUAUGACAAGUUAGGGAGCACCACUGUAAUGAAUUAUUAGGGACUAGCUUAUAUUACCCAGCUAUGUUCGUCACCCUGAUGAGGAAAGUGAUCCUACUUUCACUAUUAUGUGUGCCAUAUUUGUGAAUGCUUAGUCCAUGCUUAAAAGGUUAACAUAAAGAGAUAAGAAAAAAAAAAUAAAGCAACCGAUAUAACAGUAUAUCCCACGUUUUGAACUGGCUGAUUUCAUGAAAAAUUAACUUGAAAAGCCUUCGGAUUUAGUGUGAAAUGUUAAGAUGGUAGGUAUAUUGAGUGGCAAAAUUCAUGCAAUAUAUCUUCAGUUCAUGAUUUAUUAUUCUUAGAGAGAUAGAAAUGCAUUUUGGGAAUUUGGUUAAAAUUGACUGCCAUAUUUGGUCGUGCAAUCAUCCUUUCCAGUUGACUAUCUGACUAUCUGUAAUAUGUAUGUUUAGUACACGCUUCCCAAACAAGACCAUUAUUGAUGGUUUAGUUAUGAAUGUGUACUACUUGACAUUUUGAGGUGCUUAGGAAUUUACAAAAUUCAAGAUAUAGAUUUGUCAAAUUAAAUUCGUUAGUUGUUUAUUAUCUAAUUUUAAACACAACCCAUUUGACCCAUGAAGAGUGGCUUGAUAAUCUAAAUUCCAUGCUUGCUUCACUGAUUGGAAAACUGGCGUGCUGGCUACUAAUUGUGUUGAAAUAGAUAUAGGCUUUACCUUCAUCAUGGAUUAGUUUAUGCCAUAUGAAGGUUGUUUAUAAAACCAAAAUAACCAUUCACGUAAUUUUGGAUAUCAACAGUGAGGUGGGUUGGUCAUGUGUCUAACAUGUGACACAAUGAGGAUGCUGAGUUUCUGCUACUAUCAUUUUCUGUGCUAGCAAAGAAUUUUGAACCAAAAUAAAAUUCAGUAAAUGUAUGCAUAUAAUGGUGCAAUACAUGGUGUUUCCUUCGUGUCUAGGUCUUAUCCACUUUUUCUUCACUUAUUAUCACAUCAUCUGACAUUUAUUUUAAUUUAUUUGUCUUACAUGGAAACAAUUUUUCUUUGUUCU